CCUAGGGAGGCUGCAGUGGGGAAUAUUGGACAAUGGGCGAAAGCCUGAUCCAGCCAUGCCGCGUGUGUGAAGAAGGCCUUCGGGUUGUAAAGCACUUUCAGUGGGGAAGAAAGCCUUGGGGCUAAUACCCUCGAGGAAGGACAUCACCCACAGAAGAAGCACCGGCUAACUCCGUGCCAACAGCCGCGGUAAUACGGAGGGUGCGAGCGUUAAUCGGAAUUACUGGGCGUAAAGCGCGCGUAGGCGGUCUGAUAAGCCGGUUGUGAAAGCCCCGGGCUCAACCUGGGAACGGCAUCCGGAACUGUCAGGCUAGAGUGCAGGAGAGGAAGGUAGAAUUCCCGGUGUAGCGGUGAAAUGCGUAGAGAUCGGGAGGAAUACCAGUGGCGAAGGCGGCCUUCUGGACUGACACUGACGCUGAGGUGCGAAAGCGUGGGUAGCAAACAGGAUUAGAUACCCGAGUAGUC
RNAcentral lists this ribosomal RNA (464 nucleotides) under Vreelandella stevensii. Its description in RNAcentral is "partial 16S ribosomal RNA". It matches the Rfam family "Bacterial small subunit ribosomal RNA", at positions 338 to 795 of the family's 1533-position model. The record is from RNAcentral. Lineage: Bacteria; Pseudomonadati; Pseudomonadota; Gammaproteobacteria; Oceanospirillales; Halomonadaceae.